RNAcentral lists this non-coding RNA (179 nucleotides) under Sulfitobacter sp. HI0023. RNAcentral describes it as "Oceanibulbus sp. HI0023 Ruegeria cis52 sRNA". It matches the Rfam family "Ruegeria cis52 sRNA". Rfam says of the family: Cis-encoded. Targets oligo/dipeptide ABC transporter. Functions in transport. The record is from Rfam by way of RNAcentral. Lineage: Bacteria; Pseudomonadati; Pseudomonadota; Alphaproteobacteria; Rhodobacterales; Roseobacteraceae.
UGCGCAGGGCGUGUUUCAACACGAUGUCGCUGAACUUCACCCCCUUCAGGCGCGCGGUCCGGAUAUAUUGCGCCGUCAUCACCUCCGUCAUGGAGGCGCGCGUCAUCCGCGCGAUAUAUCCCAUGCCGUAGAGCGAGAUGGUCAGCACCGGCAGGAAGAAGUUCCAGAAAUUCGCAUCC